UCAAGCAAUGUGACCUGUGAUGGGAUGGGU
This 30-nucleotide non-coding RNA is filed under the name Rattus norvegicus (Norway rat). Lineage: Eukaryota; Metazoa; Chordata; Mammalia; Rodentia; Muridae. The record is from RNAcentral.